Molecule: unclassified non-coding RNA, 216 nt
Filed under: uncultured Gammaproteobacteria bacterium
Lineage: Bacteria; Pseudomonadati; Pseudomonadota; Gammaproteobacteria
Description: contains 16S-23S intergenic spacer region
Source: RNAcentral
UCCGGUUCUUACUACCAGCAUGUCGAACCUGGGUAAGGUUCUUCGCGUUGCGUCGAAUUAAACCACAUGCACCACCGCUUGUGCGGGUCCCCGUCAAUUCCUUUGAGUUUUAACCUUGCGGCCGUACUCCCCAGGCGGUCAACUUCACGCGUUAGCUUCGUUACCAAGGAAUAACUUCCCCGACAACUAGUUGACAUCGUUUAGGGCGUGGACUAC